CCCUGGUAGUCCACGCCGUAAACGAUGUCUACUUGGAGGUUGUGGCCUUGAGCCGUGGCUUUCGGAGCUAACGCGUUAAGUAGACCGCCUGGGGAGUACGGUCGCAAGAUUAAAACUCAAAUGAAUUGACGGGGGCCCGCACAAGCGGUGGAGCAUGUGGUUUAAUUCGAUGCAACGCGAAGAACCUUACCUACUCUUGACAUCCAGAGAACUUUCCAGAGAUGGAUUGGUGCCUUCGGGAACUCUGAGACAGGUGCUGCAUGGCUGUCGUCAGCUCGUGUUGUGAAAUGUUGGGUUAAGUCCCGCAACGAGCGCAACUCUUAUCCUUGUUUGCCAGCGAGUAAUGUCGGGAACUCCAGGGAGACUGCCGGUGAUAAACCGGAGGAAGGUGGGGACGACGUCAAGUCAUCAUGGCCCUUACGAGUAGGGCUACACACGUGCUACAAUGGCGCAUACAGAGGGCAGCCAACUUGCGAGAGUGAGCGAAUCCCAAAAAGUGCGUCGUAGUCCGGAUCGGAGUCCGCAACUCGACUCCGUGAAGUCGGAAUCGCUAGUAAUCGCGGAUCAGAAUGCCACGGUGAAUACGUUCCCGGGCCUUGUACACACCGCCCGUCACACCAUGGGAGUGGGCUGCAAAAGAAGUAGGUAGUUUAACCUUCGGGGGGGCGCU
RNAcentral lists this ribosomal RNA (670 nucleotides) under uncultured Gammaproteobacteria bacterium. RNAcentral describes it as "bacterial SSU rRNA". It matches the Rfam family "Bacterial small subunit ribosomal RNA", at positions 785 to 1454 of the family's 1533-position model. Lineage: Bacteria; Pseudomonadati; Pseudomonadota; Gammaproteobacteria. The record is from RNAcentral.